GACGAACGCUGGCGGCGUGCCUAAUACAUGCAAGUCGAGCGAGCGGAACUAACAGAUUUACCUCGGUAAUGACGUUAGGAAAGCGAGCGGCGGAUGGGUGAGUAACACGUGGGGAACCUGCCCCAUAGUCUGGGAUACCACUUGGAAACAGGUGCUAAUACCGGAUAAGAAAGCAGAUCGCAUGAUCAGCUUUUAAAAGGCGGCGUAAGCUGUCGCUAUGGGAUGGCCCCGCGGUGCAUUAGCUAGUUGGUAAGGUAAAGGCUCACCAAGGCGAUGAUGCAUAGCCGAGUUGAGAGACUGAUCGGCCACAUUGGGACUGAGACACGGCCCAAACUCCUACGGGAGGCAGCAGUAGGGAAUCUUCCACAAUGGACGCAAGUCUGAUGGAGCAACGCCGCGUGAGUGAAGAAGGUUUUCGGAUCGUAAAGCUCUGUUGUUGGUGAAGAAGGAUAGAGGUAGUAACUGGCCUUUAUUUGACGGUAAUCAACCAGAAAGUCACGGCUAACUACGUG
This 512-nucleotide ribosomal RNA is filed under the name uncultured bacterium. RNAcentral's name for it is "partial 16S ribosomal RNA". It matches the Rfam family "Bacterial small subunit ribosomal RNA", at positions 28 to 507 of the family's 1533-position model. The record is from RNAcentral.